GUUGAACGUGGAUUCUCCAUCAAUAAAGAGGUGGAGUCAGAUAAUUUGCAUGAGGACACUGUGGUCACACGGAGGCUGGUGUGUGACUACAUUAUACAACAUGGAGGUGUUACCAAGGUUCCACUCAGUAAACCACUACUGACAAGUGUAGCAAGAGCAAGGACAAGGUAUCGUAUCCACCUUGAGAACGAAAGAAAGAAGAGGGAGGCAAAAGACCAGGCUCUCAAGAGGAAGGAGGCAGAGGACUGUCUGCAGGAGCUGAAGGUGAAGAGGAUACGCGUAAAGGAGGUAUCUGAGGGUCUGGCUAGGGAUGCGGACAGGCUGGCUGAGCAGGCUGAAGCAAAGGCAGGGAGCAAAAUGGCUGACCUGAUCUCCAGGUCCAACCUCCUGCGGAGAGGCCAUAAGGAGAAGUUGGCAGAACUGGCUCUCCUUGAUAAAGAGAUCGCUGCUAAAAGUGAAGAGCUUAGGAGUUGACUUUGAUCUUUAUUUUAUUUAUUGUUGAGUUGAUUUUCUUUGUUUGUUGUUCUGGAGUCUCUCUACUCCCCAUAUUCCCAGCAUGGAAUAAGCUAGCUAAUAAAUAGAUUUGUCACACCUC
Eleginops maclovinus (Patagonian blennie) is the source of this 595-nucleotide long non-coding RNA. RefSeq lists it as uncharacterized. Lineage: Eukaryota; Metazoa; Chordata; Actinopteri; Perciformes; Eleginopidae. The transcript has 2 exons. The record is from RefSeq and is a predicted model, not a curated record.